Molecule: long non-coding RNA, 256 nt
Organism: Thamnophis elegans (Western terrestrial garter snake)
Lineage: Eukaryota; Metazoa; Chordata; Lepidosauria; Squamata; Natricidae
Exons: 2
Source: RefSeq, a predicted model, not a curated record
CUUUCCUCCGGUCUCACUCUUCUCCAUGGAGCAAUGCAAUUCUUCAGGGCCAAUGUGCUGAGUUUUUCUUUAUGGAAGUCAGGAUAUGAUGGCCUGAAAAAUUGUUUUAGAGGACCUCUAUGAAAUAUUAACUUGAUAAAGUCAAUUGGAUUCAUUUUGAAUGGAAGUUAGCCUGGCAGAUCUUGAGAAGAUAACCCAGAUAAUGCUUUGGAACAUAACUGGGGAGGAGCUUAAACCUGUUACUAUUGAAGAAGAG